Molecule: small RNA, 28 nt
Filed under: Bombyx mori (domestic silkworm)
Lineage: Eukaryota; Metazoa; Arthropoda; Insecta; Lepidoptera; Bombycidae
Description: ovarian small RNA-11769
Source: RNAcentral
AGAACGGUUCUUGCCUUAAAUCAGGUUC